Molecule: non-coding RNA, 1270 nt
Organism: Microtus oregoni (creeping vole)
Lineage: Eukaryota; Metazoa; Chordata; Mammalia; Rodentia; Cricetidae
Source: the annotation of a RefSeq genome assembly
AUGGAGAGGAAGCUGAGAGCUGUGCUGGGGGCUCUGUGGGUGCAGAUUUGCUGGGUGAGAGGAGCUGAGGUGGAGCAGAGUCCUUCAGCCCUGAGUCUCCACGAGGGAAAAAGUUCUACUCUGUCAUGCAACUUUUCUAUCACUAUGACAACUGUGCAGUGGUUCCGGCAGAAUUCCAGAGGCAAUCUCAUCAAUAUUUUCUACCUGGCUCCAGGAAGAAAGGAGAAUGGGAGGUUAAAUUCAACAUUUGACUCCAAGGAGCGUUACAGUACCCUGCACAUCAGGGAUGCCCAGCUGGAGGACUCAGGCACCUACUUCUGCUGUGGGAACAGUGGAAGCGGCAGCUACAAACUGACAUUUGGAAAAGGAACUCUCUUAACUGUGACUCCAAACAUCCAGGACCCAAAACCAGCUGUGUACCAGCUAAGAGAUGCUCAGGCCAAGAACAGCACCAUCUGCCUGUUCACCGACUUCGGUUCCCACGUCAACAAGUCAGAGGACGUGCCACCUGGUGUGUUUGUCUCCAACAACACCGUGCUGGACAUGCGGUCUAUGGAUUCCAAGAGCAACGGGGCCAUUGCCUGGAGUAACCACAGUAGUUUGAACUGUAAAGACGCCUUCAAACAGAACGCCGCCUACCCCAGCUCAGAUGUUCCCUGCGAUGCCAAGUUGAUAGAGAAAAGCUUUGAAACAGAUAUGAACCUCAACUUUCAAAACCUGUCAGUGAUGGGACUCCGAAUCCUGCUCCUGAAAGUGGCCGGAUUUAACCUGCUCAUGACGCUGCGGCUGUGGUCCAGUUGAGGUUUCCAGACUGAAGGAGGCUGAACUCCCAAGCUCCUUUCUCUUCAUCACCCCUCCUCGCCCUCUUCAAGCGGAAAAAGAGCCCGCCCACCUCCUAAAGAAGGCUCUGAGCAGCUCACAACCCCAUCAACUGGAUCUCCUGAAUCUGUGAUGGAGACUGAAGAGCCGCUGCUACCCCACUUCCUCACUGCUGCCGCCCACACAAGACAGGCAGGGGCUGCUGCUUCUCCUGGAUGUGAAGACCCUUCAUACACACCCCUGCUCUCCCCCACCCCCACCCCGCGACUGCAGUUCCUCGUGAAUGUUGUAAAGAGCAUGUUUUUGUUUUUGCUUCUUUUAAAGCAUCCAUAAAGAAAUACACAUUACUCUUUCCUCAAGGCGUAGAAAACUUAACUCCUUGUCUAGACCCUCCCUGCUCCUGUGUGUGUGAGCUGUACAUCGCUCUGCUGUGUAUGGCUUCAUUAAAGAU